Molecule: ribosomal RNA, 468 nt
Filed under: uncultured bacterium
Lineage: Bacteria
Description: partial 16S ribosomal RNA
Rfam family: Bacterial small subunit ribosomal RNA
Source: RNAcentral
GACGAACGCUGGCGGCGUGCUUAACACAUGCAAGUCGAACGGAAAGGCCCUGCUUUUGUGGGGUGCUCGAGUGGCGAACGGGUGAGUAACACGUGAGUAACCUGCCCUUGACUUUGGGAUAACUUCAGGAAACUGGGGCUAAUACCGGAUAGGAGUUCCUGCUGCUUGGUGGGGGUUGGAAAGUUUCGGCGGUUGGGGAUGGACUCGCGGCCUAUCAGCUUGUUGGUGGGGUAGUGGCUUACCAAGACUUUGACGGGUAGCCGGCCUGAGAGGGUGACCGGCCACAUUGGGACUGAGAUACGGCCCAGACUCCUACGGGAGGCAGAAGUGGAGAAUAUUGCACUAUGGGCUGAAGCCUGAUGUAGCAACGCCGCGUGCGGGAUGACGGCAUUCGGGUUGUAAACCGCUUUCGCCUGUGACGAAGCGUGAGUGACGGUAAUGGGUAAAGAAGCACCGGCUAACUACGUG